RNAcentral lists this ribosomal RNA (253 nucleotides) under uncultured bacterium. RNAcentral's name for it is "partial 16S ribosomal RNA". It matches the Rfam family "Bacterial small subunit ribosomal RNA", at positions 524 to 776 of the family's 1533-position model. The record is from RNAcentral.
UACAGAGGGGGCAAGCGUUAUUCGGAAUUAUUGGGCGUAAAGGGCGCGUAGGCGGCUUGGCAAGUGGAUGGUGAAAUCCCUCGGCUUAACCGAGGAACUGCCAUCCAGACUGCUUUGCUUGAGGCCGGGAGAGGUGAGUGGAAUUCCCAGUGUAGCGGUGAAAUGCGUAGAUAUUGGGAGGAACACCAGUGGCGAAGGCGGGUCUCUGGACAGUUCCUGACACUGAGGCACGAAGGCCAGGGGAGCAAACGGG